UAGUUCAGUUGGUUAGAAUGCCUGCCUGUCACGCAGGAGGUCGCGGGUUCGAGUCC
This 56-nucleotide transfer RNA is filed under the name Listeria monocytogenes. Its description in RNAcentral is "tRNA-Asp". It matches the Rfam family "tRNA", at positions 8 to 60 of the family's 71-position model. From Rfam's summary of the family: Transfer RNA (tRNA) molecules are approximately 80 nucleotides in length. Their secondary structure includes four short double-helical elements and three loops (D, anti-codon, and T loops). The record is from RNAcentral. Lineage: Bacteria; Bacillati; Bacillota; Bacilli; Caryophanales; Listeriaceae.